This 495-nucleotide ribosomal RNA is filed under the name uncultured bacterium. RNAcentral's name for it is "partial 16S ribosomal RNA". It matches the Rfam family "Bacterial small subunit ribosomal RNA", at positions 28 to 507 of the family's 1533-position model. The record is from RNAcentral.
GACGAACGCUGGCGGCGUGCCUAAUACAUGCAAGUAGAACGCUGAAGGAGUAACUUGCUUCUCUGGAUGAGUUCCGAACGGGUGAGUAACGCGUAGGUAUCCUGCCUUGCAUCGUGGGGUAACUUUUCGAAACGAUAGCUAAUCCCGCAUAACAGUCGAUGUUGCAUUACAUUUGCUUAAAAUUUGCAAUUUCAUCGCUACCAUGUGGCGCUGCGUUGUUUUAUCUUGUUGGGGGGGUAACGGCUCACCAAGGCGGCGAUACAUAUCCGACCUGAGAGGGGGAUCGGGCACACUGGGACUGGGACACGGCCCAGAAUCCUAAGGGGGGGAGCAGUAGGGGAAUUUUGGCAAAGGGCGGAAGUCUGAACGAGGAACGCCGGGGGGGUGAAGAAGGGUUUCGGAUCGGAAAAGUCUGUUGUAAGGGAAGGAAGAGUGUGAGAGUGGAAAGUUCACACUGUGACGGUAUCUAAAGAGAAAGCGACGGCUAACUACGUG